GAUGAACGCUCGCGAUAGGCUUAACACAUGCAAGUCGAGGGGCAGCAUGGUCUUAGCUUGCUAAGACUGAUGGCGACCGGCGCACGGGUGCGUAACGCGUAUGCAACUUGCCUCACAGAGGGGGAUAACCCGUCGAAAGACGGACUAAUACCGCGUACACUCCAUCUUGGGCAUCCAAGGUAGAGGAAAUGAAAUUCGCUGUGAGAUAGGCAUGCGUCCCAUUAGCUAGUUGGUGAGGUAACGGCUCACCGAGGCGACGAUGGGUAGGGGAACUGAGAGGUUGAGCCCCCACACUGGUACUGAGACACGGACCAGACUCCUACGGGAGGCAGCAGUGAGGAAUAUUGGUCAAUGGGCGAGAGCCUGAACCAGCCAAGUCGCGUGAAGGAUGACUGUCUUAUGGAUUGUAAACUUCUUUUAUACGGGAAUAACAAGAGUCACGUGUGACUCCCUGCAUGUACCGUAUGAAUAAGCAUCGGCUAACUCCGUG
This 490-nucleotide ribosomal RNA is filed under the name uncultured bacterium. Its description in RNAcentral is "partial 16S ribosomal RNA". It matches the Rfam family "Bacterial small subunit ribosomal RNA", at positions 28 to 507 of the family's 1533-position model. The record is from RNAcentral.